UUAUAGUUAAAAACUACUUACAUGAAAUAGAUAAGGAAGCAACUCUUUUGCUCAGCUGAAAGUGAAUUAUAACACUCACUGCACUGCUUUUACUUAUAUGUUGUGUUUACAGAAUCUCAUUAAACUGUAUUCUAUUAUAAGGUGCAUAUUUGCACGUCUGAGUAAAUUGGUAUGUGAAGGUUUUAUCUCAUCAGGGGGGAUUGGAUGUGUCUUAGAUUUUCUCCAAUGUUUUAAGAACUUUUCUGUGGUCCUUGCGAGAAUAGUUGUUGUUCAGACUUAGAGCUCACCCUUCACCACAAAAGAACUUCAAAAAAGAUUUACUUCAGCAAUUUAUAUUCCCUGUGAUUUGCUUUGACAUCUUGUUUGUCCUGUAUUCUCCUUUUCAGUUUAUAAAUAUCCAUUUACUCUGAGUUUUUUUAAUCUCUCUUUUUUCAGACGCAUGAAACACAUGGUGCAGCCCUCCCCUUCAGCUCCAGUAGUAACGGGCAACGAUUCCCAUUCUAGUCCUUCAACUUCAGGUAUGGUGUUAUAGCUGCUCCUGAGAUUACAGGUUGGCAACUCCUGAAUGACAAUGAUAGGCUGAUAGCUACCUCAUAGCUGCGUCUGAUGGUGUUUUUUAGGGGCAGGACACGCAAGAUGUCUGUGAUCUGCUGUGGGAAGUCCAGAAUGAUGACCUCUCAGGAUCACAUGUCUCUCCACCCUGCUCAGAUUCUUUAGCUGAUUGCAUAAUAAGCGUUGCCUUUGAGAGAGGGAGUGUAGAUAAUAUGGCCGCUGCUGUGAUUCCAUUAAGAUUAGAGUUUGUCGAAUACCUCUUUGAAUGGUUGGAAGGAUGAAUGGUGUUUUAUUUGUGAAUUUAAAAAUCUUAUGCUGAAGGGAAGGGAAGGGAAGGUUACACUCCGUUAUCCCCUAUCCGAAUCCCCUCUAACAUUAGCCAUCUUGGUCACGGAAGAGAAGAAGAUGCCUAUGAAUUUUUGAGGUCUACACUCCGAGGAUUGCGCCUUAUGCGAGGAAUUUGAUGUGGUUCGUGAGCAAUGGGCUAAGUUUUUUACCAGCAAGUAUUUAUUAUUGGCUUUAGCGCGCUUGAUCGAGUUGGUUUAGUUGUUAUAGAAUAAAUUUUAUAUUAAAAUGUAUGUUUAUGUUGAAAUUGGAACAUAUAUUUAAAUGUAAUAUGUGCACUUUGGUUUUGGGAUAUAUAGUAUACAAAACUCCAGUUGUUGUUUUUAUAUUUGUUAUAUAGGUUGCGUUAUUCUA
Spinacia oleracea (spinach) is the source of this 1251-nucleotide long non-coding RNA. RefSeq lists it as uncharacterized. The record is from RefSeq and is a predicted model, not a curated record. NCBI's taxonomy places the organism in Eukaryota, Viridiplantae, Streptophyta, Magnoliopsida, Caryophyllales, Amaranthaceae. The transcript is spliced from 4 exons.